This 21-nucleotide non-coding RNA is filed under the name Caenorhabditis elegans. The record is from RNAcentral. Lineage: Eukaryota; Metazoa; Nematoda; Chromadorea; Rhabditida; Rhabditidae.
UAUUGUAGAUUUCUCCGGCGG